This 274-nucleotide ribosomal RNA is filed under the name uncultured bacterium. RNAcentral's name for it is "partial 16S ribosomal RNA". It matches the Rfam family "Bacterial small subunit ribosomal RNA", at positions 523 to 796 of the family's 1533-position model. The record is from RNAcentral.
AUACGGAGGGUGCAAGCGUUACUCGGAAUCACUGGGCGUAAAGCGCGCGCAGGCGGCUAUUUAAGUUGGAUGUGAAAGCCUAUGGCUCAACCAUAGAACUGCAUCCAAAACUAUUUAGCUAGAGUGUGGGAGAGGAAGAUGGAAUUAGUUGUGUAGGGGUAAAAUCCGUAGAGAUAACUAGGAAUACCAAAAGCGAAGGCAAUCCUCUGGAACACUACUGACGCUGAGGCGCGAAAGCGUGGGGAGCAAACAGGAUUAGAAACCCCAGUAGUCC